This is a long non-coding RNA of Sapajus apella (tufted capuchin), 2021 nucleotides long. RefSeq lists it as uncharacterized. NCBI's taxonomy places the organism in Eukaryota, Metazoa, Chordata, Mammalia, Primates, Cebidae. The transcript has 3 exons. The record is from RefSeq and is a predicted model, not a curated record.
ACCCACUGAGCCCAGCCCCAUCUGUAUAUUUUUUAAAAGUUUUCAGGUAACAAUAUCAGUCAGCCAGGAUUGAGAAUUAUUUUGUUUUCCAGGAGUAAUUGAUUUCUUAGAAGUAGCCAACUCACCCCCUCACCCAUCUCAACAAACCCCAGAGGGUCUUAGGGUAUGAUUUGAUACCUUUAAAUUGAAAUGUUGCUGUGGGUCAUGCCUUUGCCACCUGAUGAGCCUGCUUGGAAAUUAUUGUACCUGCCAUUUUUAUUUCCACAAAUUAACACUAGAUGGCAAACUACACACGGGGAAUCAUUAAGCAUUUCCAUUUCUGAAACACUUUAUUUUUCCUUCGAAUAACCUCUUUAGCCAAUAUUUGAGUUUAAUAAUAUAGUAUUAAAACCAAGGGAAUUCUUCAUCAAUUGAAUUAUUCCGGCUCGUGGGUUAACUCACAUUCCCUUCAGCAGAGCCAUAGGCGCCCUGUAUACACUAUGGCCUGGAUUCCAGUUGUCUUAAAGGCUCAGCUGUUAAAAAAUGUUUAUUAAUCAUAACAUAGAAAAUAAAAUACUUCUUUUUUAUCACACCUGCGAACACUUUUCCACCAAUAGGUGUCAAUACUCCUUGUUAAACAAUGGACUCACUAAUAAAAACGUUUACCUGCCUACCUUUUUGGGGAGCUUGUAUCUCCAGGGAUACAGGCAGGGGGCGCUUAUGUACUACUAUAUGCCCACUUUCCUGUUCCUUCUCAGAAACGGCUUGGGUGAUGAAGUAAUGGAGGUGGGGUAUGUGAGAAACAGUAUGAGAGAAGUAUACAUUACUAUGUUGAGGAACAAUGUAAUAACAUUGUCAUUGAUUUAGUCCCUCAUAACUGGUAAAAAACCUUCAUAUCCCUGACCUCAGAGUGGCAGCAGCUCAUCCAGCUACCUCAGAGUUGGCAACAUCACUCAUCUGCCUUACACAUACAGACCCUAUAUUCCUGCCUCAAUACCACACAGAGAGACUGUCUGAUUUAGCUGAGAAGUGGUCACGUGUUACGGCCAGGCCAGCUUCCUUUCUGGAAAAGCUGAGACAUACAGACAGAAAGACCUGAUAUUUUCAAGGAGACAACUGGGCAAAGUGGACAUAAGCCAGAUAUGUGUCCAGGGUACAGCUGAAAGGAGAUCACAGAACUUUGCCUAAGUAUAUUUGUAAUUAAAACCUGAAAUUUUGCAAACAUGUUAAAUGUCUCCUCCUAACUUUAGUAUCACUAGGGACUUGGGGAGGUAUGUUUUGAAGGUGGCUUAGCAGGGGUAUAGUUGUUUAGGCGCCUGAUAGGACUCUGCAGGAGCUGACAGCUGUUGACCAGUAAGGUGAAAAUGCACCAAUAUCGGGUCAAUUGUCAGACUUUUCUCUUUCUGGCAAGUACCAGGUGGAAAGUAUGUUCUACACAUUAUUUUUAAAAAUGUUUAAACCAGUAUGUUUAUAUCUGCCUUCCCUCAGAAGGACACUCAAUUUUCCUUUGUAAAAUAACUUUUAUGAACCCACUGUUACUUUGUCUUUUUUUUAAUUGGGUCAAAAAAAGAAUAAAUGGCAAUGAAAUAGGCAUUUCUGUAUUUUUCUUUAAGAAUGGAAACCCAUCUUCAGGUUACUGCUGAAGGAAAUAUAAUUAAACCUUUGACUUUACAUCAUCAAAGAAGCAUCUCAAGAAAUUUUCCUUUCAAACAUUUAUUUGUUGAAGUCAUUUUGUUUAUAUCCCAACUCGAGAUAACUCAGUUAAAAUGUACUUAGGAACAAAAUCCUGAGUGAUAUUAACAUAUUUGAGGGCAUUACACCAGUAACAUGCCAGCAAGAGAAUAUCUUUUCAUUUGAAAGAAGCUUAGCAGGUGCCAAAGAAGAAUAAAAAAUUAAUUGCAUCAAAAUGACAUUUGUUUUAAGGGGAUCAUUAUGUCACUAUCUGAUUUUAUUUGGAUCAUAUUUGUCAAUCUAAACAUUUAUGAUGUGGCUGAAAAAAUUGAGAAAUAAAAAAGUCCAGAACAUUUACAUAUUUUUAGUUU